RNAcentral lists this ribosomal RNA (614 nucleotides) under Pratylenchus sp. 1 WB-2017. Its description in RNAcentral is "eukaryotic LSU rRNA". It matches the Rfam family "Eukaryotic large subunit ribosomal RNA", at positions 403 to 861 of the family's 3401-position model. Lineage: Eukaryota; Metazoa; Nematoda; Chromadorea; Rhabditida; Pratylenchidae. The record is from RNAcentral.
AACCGAUGAGGUGGAAACGGAUAGAGCCAGCGUAUCUGGCCUGUAUUCAGCCUCGUUGUGGUUGGCAGUUGGGCGCUGCGUCUCCAGAUUGGGACAGUGUUUGACAUUGCUGGCGGCAAUGUUGGUGCAUUUGCAGGUCGAGUGCGCCGAGACUUUCGAGUCGGCGGCAUGAGUUCAGUUUUGAGGCCAGCUUGCUGGUACCCGGAUUGGAGGAAUGUUGUUCGGUUUGGAUGUAAGAUGGGAAAGGCUCACGAGUUCGUAUGGGCACCGAGUUGGUCGGAGGUGGCAGUCGCAUGCGACAUGUACCUUUUGCCAAUUCGGUCCUGUGCCAGCUCACAAUCCCACUCUCGGCGUAAAAGUUGGUCAUCUAUCUGACCCGUCUUGAAACACGGACCAAGGAGUUUAUCGUGUGCGCAAGUCAUUGGGUGUUGAAAACCCAAAGGCGCAAUGAAAGUAAAGCAUCCGCAAGGGUGCGACGUGUGAUCCUGGCAAUCACGGUUGUCCGGAGCAACAUGGCCCCAUUCUGGCCGCUUGCGGCGGGGUGGAGGAAGAGCGUACGCGGUGAGACCCGAAAGAUGGUGAACUAUUCCUGAGCAGGAUGAAGUCAGAGGAAA